Molecule: ribosomal RNA, 448 nt
Filed under: uncultured bacterium
Lineage: Bacteria
Description: partial 16S ribosomal RNA
Rfam family: Bacterial small subunit ribosomal RNA
Source: RNAcentral
CCCAGACUCCUACGGGAGGCAGCAGUGGGGAAUAUUGCACAAUGGGGGAAACCCUGAUGCAGCGACGCCGCGUGAGUGAAGAAGUAAUUCGUUAUGUAAAGCUCUAUCAGCAGGGAAGAAAAUGACGGUACCUGAGUAAGAAGCCCCGGCUAACUACGUGCCAGCAGCCGCGGUAAUACGUAGGGGGCAAGCGUUAUCCGGAUUUACUGGGUGUAAAGGGAGCGUAGGUGGCAGGGCAAGUCAGAUGUGAAAACCCGGGGCUCAACCCCGGGAGUGCAUUUGAAACUGUCCAGCUGGAGUGCAGGAGAGGUAAGCGGAAUUCCUAGUGUAGCGGUGAAAUGCGUAGAUAUUAGGAGGAACACCAGUGGCGAAGGCGGCUUGCUGGACAGAGACUGACGUUGAGGCUCGAAAGCGUGGGGAGCAAACAGGAUUAGAUACCCCCGUAUAU